RNAcentral lists this long non-coding RNA (1068 nucleotides) under Anas platyrhynchos platyrhynchos (common mallard). RNAcentral's name for it is "lncRNA (ENSAPLG00000023766.1)". Lineage: Eukaryota; Metazoa; Chordata; Aves; Anseriformes; Anatidae. The record is from RNAcentral.
UGCUUCUGUGAUGUCUGAACUGCAUGGCAGUUUUCUAAACUUGCGCCAUGGCAGUUUUCUAAACUUGCGCCACUGAGUUUAUUGCAAUGAUAAAAAUAGGAUUGCGCCAUGUGCUACCAUCCUUGCUGUGGCUGAAGUUAACCACUGCUCAGUAACAGCUGACUGAACAGGAGCAUUUCCAUAGCUCCCAUAUCCUUUAUGUCCCUGGAGGGUGGAUAUUCUCUAGGCAGAAAUCUUCUGUAGUUUUGCAAUUAAAAUCCAGAUCAUAACAUACAUACAGUGACCCAAUCUCAACAUGUUUCACAUCUCCUCUGGGAUGUCAUGUAGGUUUGAUAGUCUGUAUUGCUUUUUGUUUGCAAACGGGGGACAGAGAGAGAGACAUUGAAGAACUCUGUGCCUGAGCAGAAGUAAGAUUAGUUCUGUCAUUGGCAUGGAGUGAGGGUAAGUUUUCAGAGGCUAUGAAAAUAAUUUAUUUUUCUUUUAAGUGCGUGGCAUAGGAAUGAAAACAGCAACACACACAAGAUAGUCACAUUUGUAGACAAUAAGGGCAAAGUGUAAUCGAGUCCACAUCAGAGUGAAAUUUGUUUAUAGAUUCUCCCAUGGGCUGGAGAGAAUCAUGGGACUGCAAAUAGGACAGGAAAAAAUUCGUGCUACAUAUCUAACUAUUCUAAGAUCAUAGCCUCCUGUGCUCCCUGGUCUUCUUUUUCACUGUGCAUGACUUGGAGCAAAGCCAUCUUCUAAAAGUAGUUUGUUGACACCUUGAUACUGAGCAGAAGAAAACCAGGAAUUAAGAUUUAAUGGGCAGCAAUAAUGAAAAGAAAAGAGAACUCCUUCCCAACAGCUAUGAAGAUCUUCAGUUUAUGGUGUGCUGGGUGCUAAGGAUAGCAUUACUGAGGUGACAUGAACUUUUUAAAUUACGGAGCUACUGGUAACUUACUGCUGAAGUCUUAUCUUUCAAACAGCUAUUUCCAGCUAUUUUCCAUGUUUUAUCCAACAUCAAGAAAGGUCUUCACUGCUCCACUAUCACUGUUCUUGUGAGAAGCAGCUCCCAAGAGGUUCGACCAGCAA